AGCGGCGGACGGGUGAGUAACACGUGGGUAACCUGCCCAAGAGACUGGGAUAACACCUGGAAACAGAUGCUAAUACCGGAUAACAACACUAGACGCAUGUCUAGAGUUUGAAAGAUGGUUCUGCUAUCACUCUUGGAUGGACCUGCGGUGCAUUAGCUAGUUGGUAAGGUAACGGCUUACCAAGGCAAUGAUGCAUAGCCGAGUUGAGAGACUGAUCGGCCACAUUGGGACUGAGACACGGCCCAAACUCCUACGGGAGGCAGCAGUAGGGAAUCUUCCACAAUGGACGAAAGUCUGAUGGAGCAACGCCGCGUGAGUGAAGAAGGGUUUCGGCUCGUAAAGCUCUGUUGGUAGUGAAGAAAGAUAGAGGUAGUAACUGGCCUUUAUUUGACGGUAAUUACUUAGAAAGUCACGGCUAACUACGUGCCAGCAGCCGCGGUAAUACGCAGGUGGCAAGCGUUGUCCGGAUUUAUUGGGCGUAAAGCGAGUGCAGGCGGUUCAAUAAGUCUGAUGUGAAAGCCUUCGGCUCAACCGGAGAAUUGCAUCAGAAACUGUUGAACAUGAGUGCAGAAGAGGAGAGUGGAACUCCAUGUGUAGCGGUGGAAUGCGUAGAUAUAUGGAAGAACACCAGUGGCGAAGGCGGCUCUCUGGUCUGCAACUGACGCUGAGGCUCGAAAGCAUGGGUAGCGAACCGGAUUAGAUACCCUGGUAGUCCAUGCCGUAAACGAUGAGUGCUAAGUGU
This 742-nucleotide ribosomal RNA is filed under the name uncultured bacterium. RNAcentral's name for it is "bacterial SSU rRNA". It matches the Rfam family "Bacterial small subunit ribosomal RNA", at positions 94 to 823 of the family's 1533-position model. The record is from RNAcentral.